GAAGUCAGCCAGACCGCCGCUGGUGCAAGCGUGGAAACACGGCACUGGAGGAAGGUCCGGACUGCACAGGGCGGCGUAGCAGCCAACGGCUGUCCACCGCGAGGUGAGGAUCAGAGCAACAGAGACGAGCCGAUUCAGUUCGGGUGAAACGGGCAAUCUCUACGCGCAGCAAUACCAAGUAGGCACACGUUGACUCGGCCCGAGGAGUGUGCGGGUAGGUAGCACCGAGCCGGAAGGCGACUUCCGGCCCAGAGGAAUGGCGGUCACGGCCGGCUUUCGCAAGAAGGCCGGCUGCACAGAAUCCGGCCUAUCGGCUGACUUCACAC
Molecule: RNase P RNA, 326 nt
Filed under: Rubrivivax rivuli
Lineage: Bacteria; Pseudomonadati; Pseudomonadota; Betaproteobacteria; Burkholderiales; Sphaerotilaceae
Description: Ideonella sp. KYPY4 RNase P RNA component class A
Rfam family: Bacterial RNase P class A
About the family: Ribonuclease P (RNase P) is a ubiquitous endoribonuclease, found in archaea, bacteria and eukarya as well as chloroplasts and mitochondria.
Source: RNAcentral